GUGGAUCGAGCUCAACUCUUAAGCCCGCUGAAGGGUCUAAAUCUACUCCAGCUUCCUCGGAGGGCGCGAGGGAAACCUCCCUAGCCAUUGUGGAGCAGACCCAAGUCGUUGAGCAAGUGGAGUCGGGUCUUGUCCAUUCUCCUGAAGGGGUGUCAGGGGGAAAAUCUAAGUCCCCCGUUACUGAAGACAAGGAGGCCUCUGGGACAGGGAUGGAGAUCAUCCUCAUAGAGGACCAAAUCCCAGAUGUUCCUACCCAAGAUGCCCCUGCCUCUGUGGGGACUGGGCCUGAGGGGUCUGAAGGCAUUCCACUAAAGACCGGGGAUAAGCGCCCAGCCCCUUCUGGAACAUCUUCCCCAUCUCCUGCUCGGAAGA
This 372-nucleotide long non-coding RNA is filed under the name Manihot esculenta (cassava). RNAcentral's name for it is "long non-coding RNA (MESC_LNC004587)". Lineage: Eukaryota; Viridiplantae; Streptophyta; Magnoliopsida; Malpighiales; Euphorbiaceae. The record is from RNAcentral.